GAUGAAGAACGCAGCGAAAUGCGAUAAGUAAUGUGAAUUGCAGAAUUCAGUGAAUCAUCGAAUCUUUGAACGCACAUUGCGCCCCCUGGUAUUCCGGGGGGCAUGCCUGUCCGAGCGUCAUUACAACCCUCAAGCUCAGCUUGGUGUUGGGCCCCGCCGCCCCGGCGGGCCCUAAAGUCAGUGGCGGUGCCGUCCGGCUCCGAGCGUAGUAAUUCUUCUCGCUCUGGAGGUCCGGUCGUGUGCUUGCCAGCAACCCCCAAUUUUUUUCAGGUUGACCUUGGAUCAGGUAGGGAUACCCGCUGAACUUAAGCAUAUCAAUAAGCGGAGGA
Molecule: unclassified non-coding RNA, 329 nt
Filed under: soil metagenome
Description: partial contains 5.8S ribosomal RNA, internal transcribed spacer 2, and large subunit ribosomal RNA
Rfam family: 5.8S ribosomal RNA (bases 1-120)
Source: RNAcentral